Cyprinus carpio carpio is the source of this 1074-nucleotide long non-coding RNA. NCBI's taxonomy places the organism in Eukaryota, Metazoa, Chordata, Actinopteri, Cypriniformes, Cyprinidae. The record is from Ensembl.
UGGGUUCCUUAAUGGGCCUGGCUAUGAACACUCAGUCAGGGAGUUCCCUCUCUGCCACAAUUUGGAUUUGGAGUUCUAAGUGGAUUCGGUUACGAUUGCCAAGCAUUGUACGACUGAGAGACUGCAACGGUUGAAUUUAAAAAUCAUGAUUUGUAUUCUACUGAAGAAACAAAGUCACAUACAUCUUGGAUGCCCUGGUGGCAAAGGCAGUCUGAAGUUUCCAUCCUUCAGCUCGGAGCAGCACUUUCCUGAACUCCGGCCAGGAAAAUGUGUGUCGGCUUGGCAGCUUGACUGUGGGAAGACUAUGGGCAAAAACUGGUGGAGUUUUGCAGCAAAGGGCUUUAUAUAGCCUUACAGCUCCUCGGGACUCCCUCUUUGGUGCAGACAGAGUGAUAGAGACAUCAAUAGAGGGAUACUAUGCAGCAAGAGCUGCAAUUACAGGAACAUAAUGAGUGGAAAUGAGAGAUGUCAGAGUUUAAACAGAAAAUGGCUUGGUAAAAUAAGUGUAUUAUGGUUUAAAAUUACUCCACUGCGUGUAAACUUUAAAAUAGACAUUCUAUAGAGUCUGAACCCCGGGACCAAUGGUCUGUUACCUCCAGAUAAAGCUUUAAUUUCAUGUUCAGCUGCACAAGGAAAACAAAUGCUAUUCCCCGGUCUCUGUUAAUUACUGCCAUCCCAUUUCAGGAAGAAGUUUAUCCCCCUCCUCUUUGUUUUCUCUGUUAUCUACUGUACAUGACUUCCUAUAUGAGCACUGAGGCAGGCCGGUCCACUCACAGAGACUCCUGCAUCAGGUUCGGAGAGAGAGACAGAGACCCUUACAUUAUGAAUGAGAAUGAGAUACAAUAUGCUUUUAUUCUGUCAUUAUAGUAAAGAAAUUAUUAAAAUAUUGUACAAGGAAUAUUUGCUUUUUUUAGUUGACAUUGUAUCCACAAUAUUAUAAUGUUAUAGGUAUAAACCUAUUUAAUUUUUUAUGUUAUAUGUUAAAUGCUAGGACUGUCAUUUAAAAAAAAAAAUGAUUGUCAUAAAAUAUUUAUUUUAUUAAGUUGACAUUGUAUCUUCAGUUUUCUAAUAAUU